Molecule: transfer RNA, 81 nt
Organism: Sporothrix schenckii ATCC 58251
Lineage: Eukaryota; Fungi; Ascomycota; Sordariomycetes; Ophiostomatales; Ophiostomataceae
Rfam family: tRNA
About the family: Transfer RNA (tRNA) molecules are approximately 80 nucleotides in length. Their secondary structure includes four short double-helical elements and three loops (D, anti-codon, and T loops). Further hydrogen bonds mediate the characteristic L-shaped molecular structure. tRNAs have two regions of fundamental functional importance: the anti-codon, which is responsible for specific mRNA codon recognition, and the 3' end, to which the tRNAs corresponding amino acid is attached (by aminoacyl-tRNA synthetases). tRNAs cope with the degeneracy of the genetic code in two manners: having more than one tRNA (with a specific anti-codon) for a particular amino acid; and 'wobble' base-pairing, i.e. permitting non-standard base-pairing at the 3rd anti-codon position.
Source: Rfam
GCCAGUUUGGCCGAGUGGUGAUGGCGGUAGUCCUGAGAACUAUUAUCGAGAGAUGCACAGGUUCGAAUCCUGUAACUGGCA